UCUCUGGUAGUAUAUCGGUUAGUACACGCGCCUGUCAUAUUGAGGGAUAUGGAUUUGAUCCGCGCGAAAAGCUGGGUUCGACUCCCAGGCCAGAGAG
Non-coding RNA from Armillaria luteobubalina, 97 nucleotides. The record is from the annotation of a GenBank genome assembly. NCBI's taxonomy places the organism in Eukaryota, Fungi, Basidiomycota, Agaricomycetes, Agaricales, Physalacriaceae.